ACGGGAGGCAGCAGUGGGGAAUAUUGGGCAAUGGGGGAAACCCUGACCCAGCAACGCCGCGUGGAGGAAGAAGGUCUUCGGAUCGUAAACUCCUGUCCUAAGGGACGAGCAGAAGACGGUACCUUAGGAGGAAGCCCCGGCUAACUACGUGCCAGCAGCCGCGGUAAUACGUAGGGGGCGAGCGUUGUCCGGAAUGAUUGGGCGUAAAGGGCGCGUAGGCGGCCCGGUAAGUCUGAAGUGAAAGUCCUGCUUUUAAGGUGGGAAUUGCUUUGGAUACUGUCGGGCUUGAGUGCAGGAGAGGUUAGUGGAAUUCCCAGUGUAGCGGUGAAAUGCGUAGAGAUUGGGAGGAACACCAGUGGCGAAGGCGACUAACUGGACUGUAACUGACGCUGAGGCGCGAAAGUGUGGGGAGCAAACAGGAUUAGAUACCCUGGUA
RNAcentral lists this ribosomal RNA (436 nucleotides) under uncultured bacterium. RNAcentral describes it as "partial 16S ribosomal RNA". It matches the Rfam family "Bacterial small subunit ribosomal RNA", at positions 341 to 792 of the family's 1533-position model. The record is from RNAcentral.